CCGCGGUUAUACGAGAGACUCCAGUUGAUAGCUACGGCGUAAAGAGUGGUUAAGAAAAUAUAUUAAAUAAAGCCAAAGGUUCCCUAAGCCGUCUCACGCACUCCGGAAAUACGAAGCCCAAAUACGAAAGUAGCUUUACCUCCUGCUAUGCUGACCCCACGAAAGCUAAGAAACAAA
Molecule: ribosomal RNA, 177 nt
Filed under: Bryconops giacopinii
Lineage: Eukaryota; Metazoa; Chordata; Actinopteri; Characiformes; Iguanodectidae
Description: partial small subunit ribosomal RNA
Source: RNAcentral